RNAcentral lists this ribosomal RNA (375 nucleotides) under uncultured bacterium. Its description in RNAcentral is "bacterial SSU rRNA". It matches the Rfam family "Bacterial small subunit ribosomal RNA", at positions 28 to 417 of the family's 1533-position model. The record is from RNAcentral.
GACGAACGCUGGCGGCGUGCCUAAUGCAUGCAAGUCGCACGCAGUCGCUUCGGCGGCUGAGUGGCGCACGGCUGAGGAACACGUGAGUACCGACCACCUCGUGGGGGAUAACUGGUCGAAAGACCUGCUAAUCCCGCAUACGUUCACCCUAAAGGGUGAAGAAAGCGGCAAACGCGCGGGGUGCCGGGCUUGCGGCCCAUCAGGUUGUUGGCGGGGUAAUGGCCCACCAAGCCUCGACGGGUAGCUGGUCUGUGAGGACAACCAGCCAGACUGGGACUGAGACACGGCCCAGACUCCUACGGGAGGCAGCAGCAAGGGAUUUUCCCCAAUGGGCGCAAGCCUGAGGGAGCAACGCCGCGUGAGGGAUGACGGCCU